AAACUUUACAAUGCGGGAAACCGCGAUAAGGGGACACUGAGUGCCAGCACCAUGUGUUGGCUGUCCGCAUGUAUAAAUCACAUGUGAGCAAGGGCCGGGCAAGACCGGUGCCAGCCGCCGCGGUAACACCGGCGGCCCGAGUGGUGGCCAUUAUUAUUGGGUCUAAAGGGUCCGUAGCCGGUUUGAUCAGUCUUCCGGGAAAUCUGACAGCUCAACUGUUAGGCUUCUGGGGGA
This 234-nucleotide ribosomal RNA is filed under the name uncultured archaeon. RNAcentral's name for it is "partial 16S ribosomal RNA". It matches the Rfam family "Archaeal small subunit ribosomal RNA", at positions 345 to 581 of the family's 1478-position model. The record is from RNAcentral.